UGGGGAAUGCCUAGGCUCUCAGAGACGAUGAAGGACGUGAUAAGCUGCGAUAAGCUACGGGGAUUAGCACAUAUGAAUUGAUCCGUAGAUUUCCGAAUGGGACAACCCGGCUAGUUGAAGACUAGUCACACCUUCGGGUGAGUUAACCCAGGGAACUGAAACAUCUAAGUACCUGCAGGAAGAGAAAACAAUAGUGAUUCCGUUAGUAGUGGCGAGCGAACGCGGAUUAGCCCAAACCAGUACCGUUACGGCGAUGCUGGGGUUGUAGGACUGUUAAGUGUGUAUAAAAAUGAACUGGAAUCCUUUGGAAAGAGGAAUCGUAGAGGGUGAUAAUCCCGUACAGGUAAGUUUUUAUACCGGGACAGUAUCCUGAGUAGGGCGGAGCAGGUGAAACUCCGUUUGAAUCUGCCGGCACCAUCCGGUAAGGCUAAAUACUCCUG
This 440-nucleotide ribosomal RNA is filed under the name uncultured Symbiodinium. RNAcentral describes it as "partial Bacterial large subunit ribosomal RNA". It matches the Rfam family "Bacterial large subunit ribosomal RNA", at positions 22 to 478 of the family's 2925-position model. The record is from RNAcentral. Lineage: Eukaryota; Dinophyceae; Suessiales; Symbiodiniaceae.